GUCCUUGCCUUAAACUAUGUAUACUUGGCGUAGUGGGACUCAACCCCCAUUGUGCCGUAGCUAACGCGAUAAGUAUACCGCCUGGGGAGUACGCUCGCAAGGGUGAAACUCAAAAGAAUUGACGGGGACCCGCACAAGCAGUGGAGCAUGUGGUUUAAUUCGAUGCAACGCGAAGAACCUUACCAGGACUUGACAUGUAUGUGACGAUUACAGAGAUGUAAUUUUCUCGCAAGAGACAGAUACACAGGUGCUGCAUGGCUGUCGU
This 265-nucleotide ribosomal RNA is filed under the name uncultured bacterium. Its description in RNAcentral is "partial 16S ribosomal RNA". It matches the Rfam family "Bacterial small subunit ribosomal RNA", at positions 793 to 1055 of the family's 1533-position model. The record is from RNAcentral.